RNAcentral lists this ribosomal RNA (402 nucleotides) under uncultured bacterium. RNAcentral describes it as "bacterial SSU rRNA". It matches the Rfam family "Bacterial small subunit ribosomal RNA", at positions 356 to 773 of the family's 1533-position model. The record is from RNAcentral.
GGGGAAUAUUGGGCAAUGAGCGAAAGCCUGACCCAGCAACGCCGCGUGAAGGAAGAAGGCUUUCGGGUUGUAAACUUCUUUGACAGGGGAAGAGUAGAAGACGGUACCCUGAAAACAAGCCACGGCUAACUACGUGCCAGCAGCCGCGGUAAUACGUAGGUGGCAAGCGUUGUCCGGAUUUACUGGGUGUAAAGGGCGUGCAGCCGGGAAGGCAAGUCAGAUGUGAAAUCCGUGGGCUUAACCCACGAACUGCAUUUGAAACUGCUUUUCUUGAGUAUCGGAGAGGUAAUCGGAAUUCCUAGUGUAGCGGUGAAAUGCGUAGAUAUUAGGAAGAACACCAGUGGCGAAGGCGGAUUACUGGACGACAACUGACGGUGAGGCGCGAAAGCGUGGGGAGCAAAC